CUUUGUUCCCAUGUUCUGCAUGGUAUGAAGUGUAACAAGGGUGAGGGGUUUAGUGGGGGAGCAUAAUAUGCUUCCGGCACAUACCUAAUCUCCUCCAUGCUCUCCUGUCAUAUCUGGACAGAAUGCGUAGAGAUUUUACGGCUUUAGGGACACGGAAGCAAUGGAAAGUUACAGAUUAUUGCCAUCGGGGCUUGCAUUGUAUGCCUGAAAUCUCCUGCUGGUUUCCUGCGAGGUGACCGGACAGGGAUGACAGCACAUAGACCUUUUGGGAGGUCUGAAAUUGCUCGGACCCAACUAGCUAGAUCUGGACAUUCUUGGAAUAUGACUGUGCGGUGGUAACAUGGGAUGGGAGGACUGUUUGUUUAGUACCUUCAGUCUUGUGACUUUACCAUGUUUACAGUGCAGCUCUGCAAUUUUGCACAUAAAAGAGAGGGUGAACUCCCUCAUCUCAAUACUCCCAACAUUGAGGGCUUUUACUGUCUUUACAAACUGUUUGUUUGUCGAUGGCUUCUCCCAUCUCAACAAGCCUGUUUUCUAAGUCCAGGGGUGAUGCAUGCUUGGACAGAUGCAUGUCCAAGUGUGAGCCAGCUGCCAGGUUUCAGUGACCUCUGUCUGGUGUUAACAGAGCUUUGACAUGGCCAUGGAAAUGGUCGUUCAUGGGUGGAUGAGUGACAGCAGUGGUUUUCAGCUCACAGCGGUGGUCAGAGCUGCCUGGAAUAGCACACCCAUGUGAUCAACAGUCUAUUUGUAGGUGUGUGUACAGAGCGGGCUGCACUUACACGGGUGUCUCAAGAGAAGAGUGCAGUGAGGGGUCUGCUCUCUCGCUCUGUCGCACGCUCGUUGUCUAUGCCGGUGAAGUUUCACAGGUACUUUCAUUAUUCUGUUAGGCCUGUCUCUGAGCUCGGACCUCCAACGCGUCCAAGAGAAGUACCAUGGUUUUGAAGAAGCUGGCAGUCCUGGGGAAGCAGCUCCUGCGAGUGAAGGUGGUGGACUGCAGCAAUGAAGACACGCGCCUCUCACGCUGCCUCAACACCUUCGACCUGGUGGCGCUGGGCGUGGGCAGCACUCUGGGAGCAGGGGUCUACGUGCUGGCAGGCGCUGUGGCACGGGACAACGCCGGUCCUGCCAUCGUCAUCUCUUUCCUCGUUGCUGCGGCAGCGUCCGUGCUGGCUGGCCUGUGCUAUGCAGAGUUUGGCGCCCGUGUACCCAAGACUGGCUCUGCAUAUUUGUACAGCUAUGUGACGGUGGGCGAACUCUGGGCCUUCAUCACAGGAUGGAACCUCAUCCUCUCCUACAUCAUUGGGACGUCCAGCGUGGCACGUGCCUGGAGUGCCACAUUUGACGAGCUCAUUGGGAAUCACAUUGAGCAGUUUUGUCGUACCUACCUGAGCAUGCACGUGCCAGGCGUCCUUGCAGAGUACCCUGAUAUGUUUGCUGUGCUCAUCAUCCUCACGCUGACAGGUUUGCUGGCCUUUGGGGUGAAGGAGUCUGCUAUGGUCAAUAAGGUGUUCACCUGCAUCAAUGUCCUGGUGCUGCUCUUCAUGGUGGUGUCGGGCUUGGUCAAGGGCACACUCAAGAACUGGAACCUGGACCCCAGCAACAUUCUCAAUACUACUAAUUCUUCGUUCAACUCAUCGCUGCAGCUGCCAUCGAAGGAGAGCCUUGGAGUAGGAGGUUUUAUGCCCUUUGGCUUCACUGGAGUGCUGUCAGGUGCUGCUACCUGCUUCUAUGCCUUUGUGGGCUUCGACUGCAUUGCCACCACAGGGGAGGAGGUGAAAAACCCCCAGCGGGCCAUCCCCAUUGGCAUAGUUGCCUCACUCCUCAUCUGCUUUGUGGCCUACUUUGGCGUGUCAGCCGCCCUCACCAUGAUGAUGCCCUACUACCUGCUGGACAAGAUGAGCCCAUUGCCUGUGGCCUUCAAGUAUGUGGGCUGGGAGGGGGCCACCUAUGCAGUGGCAGUGGGUUCACUUUGCGCCCUGUCCACCAGCCUGCUCGGUGCCAUGUUUCCCAUGCCCAGAGUCAUCUGGGCCAUGGCAGAGGACGGCUUGCUCUUCAAAUUUAUCGCCAAAAUCAGCUCGAGAACCAAAACCCCCUUAAUCGCUACUUUAACAGCGGGUGCCGUGGCAGCGGUGAUGGCCUUUCUGUUUGACCUCAAGGACCUGGUGGAUCUCAUGUCUAUUGGCACACUAUUGGCAUACACUCUGGUGGCAGCCUGUGUCCUGGUCCUCCGGUACGUGCGAAUUAAAACGUUUCAGGUUUAUGUACUAGCAGUUCAAGGAGGGCUUGCACUUUGGAAUGUGAUACUCCUGAGUGUUCUGGUUGUAACCUGCCUGGGCCUCACGCUGGUCAUCUGGAGACAGCCAGAGAGCAGGACGAAGCUGUCUUUUAAGGUCCCCCUGCUGCCUUUCAUCCCAGUGAUCAGCAUGUUUGCCAACGUGUACCUUAUGAUGCAGCUUGACAGGGGUACCUGGAUCCGCUUUGCUGUAUGGAUGGCUAUAGGCCUGGUGAUCUACUUCACCUACGGGAUUUGGCACAGUACAGAAGCUAUUAUGGCCCGUUCCAGUGUUGAGGUCAACCUCAAUGGCUACAAGCCCGCCAGUACUACGGAGAAUCCUAUAGCCCCUGAGAAAGCGGCUUUUCUUGGUGUGGGGAGCGAAGAUGACGGGGAUCUCUAAGGAUCCUGGGGCACUGCCAGCUCCCUGAUUUCCCCCCAUCUAACUUUCUUGUAUUUUGAAAGCAAAUUGUGAUGCUUGAAUGACAUGUUUCAGUCAAAAAAGAGAUUACGGGCAAAUCAAAGGGAACCCAGGCUAACUGAGUUCGGACCGGCCCAAAUCAAAAAAAACACAAUAUUUCAUUUAUUUAUUUUUUGUUUUGUUUUAUGUGGAGAGCAUUUUGCAGUUGCAAAUAAGCUGUCUGUUUUGUUGUUAAUUUUAGAAUGGCAAAUGGAUUACAGCACUCUAGUAUGCAUUAAUAUACAGGUGGUCCUUGACGUACGAUGGGGUUACGUUCCAUGAAACCCAUCAUAAGUCAAAAAUAUUGUAAGUCGAAAAUGCAUUUAAUACACCUGACCUACCGAACAUCAUAGCCUAGCAUACAUGCGAUGGCCAUUACAGGCUUGCCACCUUUAUGCUGGGCACCCUCCUCCUCCUCUUCCCACCAGUAGCAGGAGACACAGAUAGGCAUUUCUGUGACAUUAUGGAUGCACAAAACACAACGUAUAUACCAGGGGGUAUCUGUAUAGCAACCAUGUGACAGACUGGGAGAUGCAGAUUGCUGCCGUUUUCCAGCAUUACAAGAGUAUCGCACUGCAUAUCACUUGCCUGGGGAAAAAGAAAAAAAAUCUAAAUUCAAAGUAUGGUUUCUACUGAACUUCUAUUGCCAGCUCACCAUCGUAAAGUCAAAAAAUCGUAAAUUGGACCAUUGUAAGUCAAGGAGCAUCUGUACGCAGACAUGCAGUUUCUGUUUCUUGGCUGUUAAUUAGGUCCAUUUGCCUUUCUAUUUUGGAAUUCAGUUGACAAAUGUUGCAUAAUUAUUUUAAAGGGCCUUUCUGUCCUCAACUGGCUCAAGAUUCAUCUUUGUGAUUAAAAGCUAUUUCUAGCAAUAGCUGGCUUUUUUUGGGUAGACAACAGUACGGGUUGUUGAAAUGCCUCAGUUCAGUUGGUGUUCUAUGCCAGUAGGGGACCCAAAAAAUAGCACAGAGUGAGCAAUGAUUGUAUUACAUCAAUAAUCAGGUACUGUGUGCCAACCCUGAGGAACCUCAAGUUCAUAACUACAAACAGCUCUUGGGCUGCUAUACUGUUAACUGUAUCAGGGAACGGCUCAUUUUUCACAAGAGACUUUUAUGCUUCAAAGUGCAAUUUUUUUUUAAAGACUACUGAAUGUGACACCUGUCAUUUCUCAUUGAAGAACCGACUGUACAACAUAACAGGUUACUUCAUUUGCAUUAUCUGAGGGCUGACCUGUAAUGUGAGAAUGCAGCUGUGAUGUACUAGUAAAUUAGUAAACCAGUUCUUUGUCUUUGAGUAUUGAAAUGUUAGUGAAAUACAGGCCGUGUGAAUGGAAAGGUUCCCAGCGAACAUUGUUGUAGUAUUUUCACUAUUGCACAGCACUAUGCAGUCUCCCACAUAGAAGUUUAACUCUGAUAGUAGCUAACAGGACAUUUUGUACUGGGAUUACAGUGCUGGUAAUUGUGUCUCAGCUGAAUCAAAUUAAUUUUAUGAUCUGCUAUCCCUUAAAACACAAAUAUGAAAUAUAUUUAAAAAGUUAUACUCUAGAUUUGGAUAUAGAAAAGAAUAGUCUAUUUUAUAAUAAAACCAUAAACUUUAUAUUCA
RNAcentral lists this long non-coding RNA (4331 nucleotides) under Scleropages formosus (Asian bonytongue). Its description in RNAcentral is "lncRNA (ENSSFOG00015006719.2)". Lineage: Eukaryota; Metazoa; Chordata; Actinopteri; Osteoglossiformes; Osteoglossidae. The record is from RNAcentral.